CCCAGGCGGCGGCAACGCGGCGGGCUGCAGGGGCUCAACGGGUACCCACGUUUGCUUCCUCCGGCGCGCCUCUGGGCGUCUGGGUUUCCAGCUUCUUACACCAGAACUGUUAAAAGGAGUUUGUCUUCAGGAAGACUCAAUUAUACUGGACAUAAAGAGCUUCUUGAAAGGGCAUGAAAAACACAACACUGGAUGUAUGCCUGGGGACAGAAGUGACAGGCAGGAGGGGGAAAUAAAGAAGAAGACAGGAAAGACAGCAGCUUCAUAUCAGUGAC
Long non-coding RNA from Mirounga angustirostris (Northern elephant seal), 275 nucleotides. RefSeq lists it as uncharacterized. The transcript has 3 exons. Lineage: Eukaryota; Metazoa; Chordata; Mammalia; Carnivora; Phocidae. The record is from RefSeq and is a predicted model, not a curated record.